Molecule: ribosomal RNA, 433 nt
Filed under: uncultured organism
Description: bacterial SSU rRNA
Rfam family: Bacterial small subunit ribosomal RNA
Source: RNAcentral
AGAGUUUGAUCCUGGCUCAGAACGAACGCUGGCGGCAGGCCUAACACAUGCAAGUCGAACGCCCCGCAAGGGGAGUGGCAGACGGGUGAGUAACGCGUGGGAACCUACCUUACGGUCGGGAAUAGCUCAGGGAAACUUGGGGUAAUACCGGAUACGCCCUUACGGGGAAAGAUUUAUCGCCGUUAGAUGGGCCCGCGUAGGAUUAGCUAGUUGGUGAGGUAAUGGCUCACCAAGGCGACGAUCCUUAGCUGGUCUGAGAGGAUGAUCAGCCACACUGGGACUGAGACACGGCCCAGACUCCUACGGGAGGCAGCAGUGGGGAAUAUUGGACAAUGGGCGCAAGCCUGAUCCAGCCAUGCCGCGUGAGUGACGAAGGCCUUAGGGUUGUAAAGCUCUUUUGGCGGGGAAGAUAAUGACGGUACCCGCAGAAUAA